This 464-nucleotide ribosomal RNA is filed under the name uncultured bacterium. Its description in RNAcentral is "partial 16S ribosomal RNA". It matches the Rfam family "Bacterial small subunit ribosomal RNA", at positions 338 to 795 of the family's 1533-position model. The record is from RNAcentral.
CCUACGGGAGGCUGCAGUGGGGAAUAUUGCGCAAUGGGCGAAAGCCUGACGCAGCGACGCCGCGUGAGGGAUGAAGGUCUUCGGAUCGUAAACCUCUGUCAGCAGGGAAGAACGGUCACUGUGCUAAUCAGCAGUGAAUUGACGGUACCUGCAAAGGAAGCACCGCCAAACUCCGUGCCAGCAGCCGCGGUAAUACGGAGGGUGCGGGCGUUAAUGGGAAUACUGGGGGUAAAGCGCUCGUAGGCGGUAUGUCAAGUCAAGGGUGAAAUCCCCGCGCUCAACGUGGGAACUGCCUUUGAAACUGGCAAACUGGAGUGUGUGAGAGGAUAGUGGAAUGCCAGGUGUAGGAGUGAAAUCCGUAGAGAUCUGGAGGAACAUCAGUGGCGAAGGCGACUAUCUGGCACAUAACUGACGCUGAGGAGCGAAAGCGUGGGUAGCAAACAGGAUUAGAUACCCCUGUAGUC